Non-coding RNA from Smittium culicis, 56 nucleotides. The record is from Rfam. NCBI's taxonomy places the organism in Eukaryota, Fungi, Kickxellomycota, Harpellomycetes, Harpellales, Legeriomycetaceae.
AAUAAGGUUUUUUUUUAGAUUGAUCAAAACCACUAAGAUUCAAAAAAAAAAUUGCU